AGUUCGAUUAUGGCUUCAAGAUGAACAUUUGUAUGGGAUGGCACACACAUGCAAGUCGAACGGCAGCACGGACUUCGGUCUGGUGGCGAGUGGCGAACGGUGAUGAUGGAACACUGAAGUAGCGGGGAUAACUGCGAAAGCAUCGUAUAAUAUACCAUACGCCCUUCGAAGCGAAGGACGCCGGGCCUCACACUGUCGAAAUGACGAAUAUCCGGAUUAGCUAGUUGGUGGGGUGUUGGCUCACUACAAAGGCGACGAUCCGUAGCUGGUUUUGAAGAGACUGACCAACCACACUGGGACUGAGACACGGCCCCGACUCCGGAGGCGGUGAAAUUUUGGACAAUGAAACCUGAUCCAGCCAUCCCGCGUGUGCGUCGAAGGCCUUCGGGUUUAAAGCACUUUGGCAGGAAAGAAACGGCACGGGAUAAUACCCCGUGCAACUGACAGUACCUGCAGAAUAAGCACCUAUUUAACUACGUGCCAGCAACCAUGAUGGCCAUGAUUGCAGCGUUAAUCGAUUACUGGGCGUAAAGCGUCGCAGGCAGUUCCGGAAAGAAGAUGUGAAAUCCCAGGCUUAACUUUAGAACACCAUUUUUAACUACCGAGCUAGAGUGUGUCGAAGGAGGUGGAAUUCCCGCGAUGGCAACAUUGAAAUACUGCGUGAAAUGUAGGAGAACACCGAUGGCGAAGGCAGCCUCCUGGGAUAACACUGACGCUCAUGCACGAAAAGCGUACUGAGAACAAACGGGAUUAGAUACUGGCGGUCGCCUAAACAAUCUGUCAACUAGCUGUUGAAGGCCGCCAGGCCUCCCAGUAGCUAAUAUGGAUAGCCGCCUGGGGAAGUACGGUCGCAAGAUUAAAACUCAAGGAAUUGGCAGGACCCGCACAAGCAGUGGAUGAUGGAUUAAUUCGAUGCAACGCGAAAAGCCUUACCUACCCUUGACAUGUCUGGAAUCCUGAAGAGAUUUGGGAGUGCUCACAAGAGAACCGGAACACAGGUGCUGCAUGGCGUAUGGCUCGUGCCGUGAGAUGUUGGGUUAAGUCCCUACGAGCGCAACCCUUGUCAUUAGUUGCUACGAAAGGGCACUCUAAUGAGACUGCCGGUGACAAACCGGAGGGAGAAUUGGGGAUGACGUCAAGUCCUCAUGGCCCUUAUGGGUAGGGCUUUGCGACCAUACAAUGGUCAAGAUUCAGAGGUCGCCAACCCGCGAGGGGAGCCAAUCCCAGAAACCCGAUCGUAGUCGGAUCGCAGUCUGCAACUCGACUUGCGUCGAAGUCGGAAUCGCCGUAAUCGCGGAUCAGCAUGUCGCGGUGGGUGCAUUGGUCUUGUACCUGCCGUCACCAUGCGGUGGGUUUUACCAGAAGUAGUUAGCCUAACCGUAGAGGCGAUUACCACGGUAGGAUUCAUGACUGGGGUGAAGUCAGCAACAAGGUAA
Molecule: ribosomal RNA, 1436 nt
Filed under: uncultured Bordetella sp.
Lineage: Bacteria; Pseudomonadati; Pseudomonadota; Betaproteobacteria; Burkholderiales; Alcaligenaceae
Description: partial 16S-23S ribosomal RNA intergenic spacer
Rfam family: Bacterial small subunit ribosomal RNA
Source: RNAcentral